CCUACGGGCGGCUGCAGUGGGGAAUCUUGCGCAAUGGACGAAAGUCUGACGCAGCCAUGCCGCGUGAAUGAUGAAGGUCUUAGGAUUGUAAAGUUCUUUAGCCUGUGACGAUGAUGACGGUAACAGGAGAAUAAGCCCCGGCUAACUUCGUGCCAGCAGCCGCGGUAAUACGAAGGGGGCUAGCGUUGUUCGGAAUUACUGGGCGUAAAGCGCGCGUAGGCGGUUUUACAAGCCAGAGGUGAAAUGCCUGAGCUCAACUUAGGAAUUGCCUUUGGAACUGUAUGGCUUUGAGGACGAGAGAGGUGAGUGGAAUUCCCAGUGUAGAGGUGAAAUUCGUAGAUAUUGGGAAGAACACCGGUGGCGAAGGCGGCUCACUGGCUCGUUUCUGACGCUGUAGCGCGAAAGCGUGGGGAUCAAACAGGAUUAGAUACCCCAGUAGUC
This 441-nucleotide ribosomal RNA is filed under the name uncultured Hyphomicrobiales bacterium. Its description in RNAcentral is "bacterial SSU rRNA". It matches the Rfam family "Bacterial small subunit ribosomal RNA", at positions 338 to 795 of the family's 1533-position model. Lineage: Bacteria; Pseudomonadati; Pseudomonadota; Alphaproteobacteria; Hyphomicrobiales. The record is from RNAcentral.